CAGGAAUCCUAACGUGUUCUUAGGGUAAAAAUUCAAGAAAGAUGACCUGAGGGCCUAACACGGGGGAGUAACUAUUGUGAAAUACCGAGAAUGUUCUCUAAGACAAAGGCUUAUUUCCCAGGAGAAUCAUUAUCAGAUCCUUGCCCCCAGAGCAGUAGAGGAAGGGCAUUCUUGUCACUCUUUUUUUUUUUUUUUUAAAUUUUUUUUUUAUUGUUUUUUGCCCUAACACCCUUUUUUUUUUCCACUGUACAGCAUGGGGACCCAGUUACACAUACAUAUAUACAUAAUUUUUUUCUCCCAUUGUCAUGCUACAUUGUAAGUAUCUAGAAAUAGUUCUCAGUGCUAUACAGCAGGAUCUCAUUGUAAAUCCAUUCCAUGAGCAAUAGUUCGCAUCCGUUGACCCCAAGCUCCCAAUCCCUCACACUCCCUUCCCCUCCCCCCGUGCAACCACAAAUCUAUUUUCCAAGUCCGUGAUUUUGUUUUCUGUGGAAAGGUUCAUUUGUGCUGUAUAUUAGAUACCAGAUAUGAGUGAUAUAGUAUUUGUCAUUCUCUUUCUGACUUAUUUCACUCAGUAUGAGAGUCUCUAGUUCCACCCACGUUGCUGCAAAUGACAUUAUUUUGUUCUUUUUAUGGCUGAGUAGUAUUCCAUUGUGUAUAUAUACCACAUCUUCCUAAUCCAAUCGUCAAUGGACAUUUGGGUUGUUUCUAUGUCUUGUCUAUUGUGAAUAUUGCUGCAAUGAACAUGCAGUUGCAUGUGUCUUUUUCAAGGAAAGCUUUGUCCAAACAUAUGCCCAAGAGUGGGAUUGCUGGAUCAUAUGGUAGUUCUAUGUAUAGACUUCUAAGCUACCUCCAUACUGUUCUCUAUAGUGGCUGUACCAGCUUACAUUCCCACAACAGUGCAGGAGGGUUCCCUUUUCUUCAUAACCCCUCCAGCCCCUGUUAUUUGUGGACUUAUUAAUGAUGGCCAUUCUUACUGAUGUGAGGUGGUAUCUCCUGGUUGUUUUGAUUUGCAUUUCUCUAAUAAACAGGGAUGUUGAGCAUUUUUUCAUGUGCUUCCCAACAAGCACAUUCUUGUCACUGUUGCUCACACUAUCCUUCCUGUUCUGCCUGAGAGAGGGGAAAGCUACAUAAAAAGAAAACAUGUAAUGGUCAUAGACCAGAGGCAAUAUUCAGUAAAAGACUGAGACUUAAUUGGAAAACUAAUGCUUCCCUCUCAGACACCUUACCUCUUCACCAAUAGAGCUCCAGGGUAAAUAGUAGAUUAUAGAGGAAAGAGAUGUGAGACACAGCUGCACAGAAGGAGUGCUUAGGGAAGCCCCAAACCAAAAGAAUUGAUGAGACAAGAACUUUGGAGGAAUGUAGUUUCUGGAAUAUAUAUAGCUACUGCAUAUAUUAAACAGUGUCCAAAUCCUCGACACAUUAACAUAAGUCUACACACUAAUGGCUCAUUUACCUUAAUCAUUAUCACUUGAAAAACAUGUUUGGCUUUCAACGAAAUAUUACAAGGCACACCAAAAGACAGGAAAAGACAAAGUUUGUGAAGCCAAACAACCAUCAACACAGAGCUUAGAUAUGACAUCAGUGCUGGAAUUAUCAGAGUGGGAAUUUGAAACAAUGAUCAAUAUGUUAAGGGCUAUGAUGGAAAAAGUAGACAACAUGCAAAAAGCAGAUGGGCAAUAUAAGCAUAGACAUAGGAAUUUAGGAAAAUAAUCUGAAAUAAAUGAUGGAAAUAUAAUACAUUGUUAACAAAGAAGGAAAGCAUUUGAUAAACUCACUAACAGGCUCAACAAGACCAAAGAAAACAAAGCUUGGAGAUACUGCCGAUAGAAAUUUAACAAAUAGACAUGCAAAGAAAAAUAAAUAAUGAAACAAAACAGAAUAUCCAACAUAUUUCAAAAGAUAAUUUCUAAAAGUAUUAGAUGUCAUUGGCGCACCAGCAGGAGAAGAAUGAGAGAAUAGAGCUAUGAGUAUUUAAAAUAAUAAUAGCUGAAACAUUUUAAAAAGAAUUAUAGCAGUUCUUUAAAAUCGCUUUCAGAAAAUAGAACAGAAAAAUACUUCCUAACUCAUUCUGUGUGGCCAGAUACAAAAAUCUGACAAAAACAUUACCAAAGAGGAAAACUAUAAACCUAUAUCUCUCAUAAUAUAGAGACAAGAAUUCUCAACAAAAUAUUGAGAAAUUGAAUCUGACACUGUAUAAAAAGAAUUGUACACCAUAAGCAAGUGGGAUUUAUCCCAAGGAUGCAAGGUUGGCACAGUCUUAAAAAUUCAGUUAGUAUAAUCCAUCAAUCACAUCAGCACAUACAGAGAAGGCAUUUGACAAAAAUCCAACACCCAUUCAUGAUUUUUAAAACUCUCAGUAAAUUGGGAAUAGAAAUUUUCUCAUUAGAUAAAAACUAUCUACAAAAAUCCUAUAGCUAGCAUCAUACUUAAUAGUGAGAGACUCAAAUCUUUCCCACUAAGAUCAGGUACAAGGCGGGAUGUACCCUCUCCAAACUCCUUUAAAACAUCAUACUGGAAGAACUAAACAAUCCGUUAAAACAAGAAAAGGAAGUUAAAAAUAUACAAAUAAGGAAUGAAGGAAUAAACUUCCUUGUUCACAGAUGACAUUACUAUUAGAAAAUCUGAAAGUAUAAAAUAAAUUAAUUAAAAGGUAUACAGAUAGAAAAAGAAAUAAAACUUAUUUUAUUUAUAAGUGACAUUUGUCUAUGUAUAAAAUCCAAAAGAAUCAAUAAGCAACUAAUGAGCAAUUACAGCAACAUUAGAGGAUAGAAGGUUAAUGUACAAAUUUAAUCAUUUUCUAAUAUACUAGCAAUAAACCCUUGGGACUUGAAACUAAUAAAAUAAUACCAUUUACAAUAACAGUGAAAAUGAAAUACACGGUAAUAUUUAACAAAAAUUCCAAAGGACCACUAUGUGAAAAACUACAAAAACUGAUAAAAAUAAUCAAUGAAGAUAUCAAUAAGUGGAGAGAUGUUCUAUGUUCCUGGAUUCAGAGAAUCAAUAUUGUUAAGAUGUCAACUCUUCCCAAUUUGAUCUGUAAAUUUAGUGUUCUCGGUCAUAAUCCCAAAAGCUGUUUUGUAGGUAUCCACAAAGUGAUUCUAAUGUUGAUAUGGAAAGACAAAAAUUCUAGAGUAUCUCACACAAUACUGAAGAUGAAGAAGAUAGAUGAAACACCCACACUACCCAAUUUUUAGACAUAUUGUAUGUCAACAGUAACCAAGGCAGCAUAGUGGUAACGAAAGUAUAGACAGAAGACUUGGGUAGGAGACUAUAGAAUAUAUUAGAGAAAUCAGAAAUAGACCAACAUAAAUAUAAUCAAAUCACAUUUGAAGAACAGGCAAUAAUGAUCCAAUGGCAAUAAUACCCCUCUGCUCUAGAUACUUAAUGACAGAGGAUAAUGCACAAUAUAAAAAUAUUAUUCAUAGUAAUUGGAAUGUGGUUAGGUAUUCUCAGAACUUAUACAUGUUUUAUUUAAUUACUAUGACAUCUUGGUAUGUAUUAAUGAUAUUAUUAUUACUCUGAUUAUUAUGGCUUAAGGAACCAAGUCUAAGAAUAGUUAUGUAAUUUAUCCCAUAUUGCACAGUUAAUGGUGGUAUCAUAAUUCAUAUCUAAGAUGGACUAUAUCUACAUUUCAUGCUCUAUAUAUGCCAUUGUAUUUAGUAGCCAAUUAAGAAUUUCCCAUUUUGACUCAGCGGUGAUGAACCUGACUAAUAUCCAUGAGGGUGCAUGUUUGAUAUCUGGCCCUGCUCCCUGGGUUAAGGAUCCUAUGUUGCUGUGAGCUAUGAUGUUAGGUUGCAGAUGCAGUUCGGAUCCUGUGUUGCUGUGGCUGUGGUGUAGGCUGGCAGCUGCAGCUCCAAGCCUGGGACCCAUAACCUGGGAACUUCCAUAUGCCACGGGCACAGCCCUAAAAAAAAAGCCAUUAAGCAUGUAGAUGGAAGUGCAGAAAGGAAAAAAACAAAGUCGUGAAGUAGGACUGUACCCAAGGGCACUCUGGGUCAAACCUUGGGAGCAAAGUAUGAUAAUCAGGAUUUUGAAUCCUGAUGGGUGUUGAGGGCUUAAAAUGAUUCAUACAGGAUGAUUGACUAGUUAAUGUUACUGCUUGAAGUUCAGUAUUGGGGUGGGCCCUUAGCCCAAUAUUAAGGUCACAGAAGAGUGCUUAGCAAAGAGGCGUGGGCACACACAAUACUGGUGUCAUGUACAUAUUUUGAUAUGAAAGAAAGAAAGCUCAUUGGAUAAAACUUAGAAGUAUAGGUGUUGCAUAGUGUGCAAGUUAAAGGCAGAAUUCACUUAUUGCACAGAGCUAUGUGCUGUGUCUGGUAUAGCUAGAUAGUAUGUAGUGUGAAUUAUGCUCCAUGGAAAAGCAAUCCUACAUCUUUAAUUCUCAGCAAACUUCUAGGGAAGGGAGAUAAAUAUUCCAUGUUAAAAUAAUGACCUUGUUAGAUAGUGGGUCUUCCAGAGAAAUGAUUUCUUAUCAGUUUGUUUUGAUAUGACGAUGCUGAGACAUGUGUCCUUGUUAAGCAACUAAGAAAGAAGAAAUCAGUCUAGGAUAUUCAGAUUUGCCUUUCCUAAAAAUAAUGUCUUGAGUCAAAUGCUUACAGCAAGCAAUAGGCCAGUGAAGCCAGAAGGCAGCUACAUACACUCGAUUAGGAUGUGAAUCCAGUAAGUCAUUAAUUUUAUAGCUGGCAUCCUCAUUAUCAUCCUUGGUAAAUUGUUGUAAAAAAUAGAUAUUAGGGACCUCAUAGUAUAGUUAGGAUAUAGAAAAAUCCAGAAAACCUUUGCAUCUAUGGUAACUACAAAAAUAUCCCAAAAGAAAUUAUUAGUCAAAAUGUUUUAUAACCUAAUAAAGAGUAGUGGAUACAAUAAAGCAUUGACUAAGUAAAUUCCAGAAAGAAAUAGUUUAUAUCUCAUGGCAGUUUCCAUUCCUGAAUAGGUUUGCCUGGCUAUAUGUAUACAUGACACAAAGGAGCAGCCUGGCCAAGUUAGUAACAAUGUUCAAAGAAAAGGAGAAACCAUGAGGAUAUUAAUAGUAGCAGGAGCUGGCAGAAUAUGGAAGAGCAUCAUGUAUAAAAAUAAGCAAUGAGGUCUGAACAAUCCACCCAUACAAGGGAGAAGAAAGCAGAGAGAAAUCACAGGAUCCUGUACUUUUUUUCCUCUGCUCUUGAAUUCUAGGAUCUUACUGGAGUUUUAUCCUUUAGGCACUAAAAAUAUCUGAAUAUUGCAGUGCAGAUCUCCCAGUUUGAAUACGUACGAGGUCAAGAAGCUGUUGAGGGCAUAGAAUGUUGAAAGUUGGUCUAAUCACAGGUGAACUCAAUCUAAUUAUAGUUCUGGGCCAUCACUUUUUUUAACACAACUCUAGGAAGAAUCUGAAAAAUUGGCUCUUAACUUCAAUCACAGUAAAGAGAAAAGGGCUUCCAAUUCUGAGAAAGUCAACAAAACAAAAUUACAAUAAUUAUGUCUUUAUUAUUUUGUAAUUUUGGAUUAAAAUUAUGGAAACAUAUAAAAUGUGCAAAGAAGCCUGAAAAGGAACACUUAAACAAUUAAAAACAUUGACAAUAGAAAUAGACUUAUAGAUGAAAUUUACUUAUGAACUUAUUAGGAUUAGCAGAGAAGAUUUUAAUGCACCCAUUAUAAAUAUGUAAAAUAACUUAAUAGAGGGAAUAAUAGAUGAAGAUUUGAAGGUUUCAGGAGAGGAAUAGAAAUUCUAAGUAAGAAAGAGAUAGCAAUUAAAAAAUCAAAAAUUAACUGAGUGGUUUAAGAACAUAUUGAAGACAACAGAGGAGAAAAUCAAUUUAACAAAAAUGUCACAUACUUCCAAGGGGAGAGGAGAAAGAUGCUGGGGUAGAGAAAUCAUUGGAAAUUAGUGACCUGUAUUUUAAAAUUUUGAUGUAUAACAUCAACCAAGAUAUCUGGGAAGCUCUAAAUAUCUAAAGUAGAAUAAAUACAAAGCCAAAGAUAUCCAGGGAUAUCAUACUCAAAUAGCUGAAAACCAAAAUUAAGGUUAAACACACCUAGAGGAAAAAAAAAAAAAAA
Molecule: long non-coding RNA, 6030 nt
Filed under: Sus scrofa (pig)
Lineage: Eukaryota; Metazoa; Chordata; Mammalia; Artiodactyla; Suidae
Description: lncRNA (ENSSSCG00030071859.1)
Source: RNAcentral